GGGCUACACACGUGCUACAAUGGUUAGGACAAAGAAAAGCGAGAGCGCGAGCUGGAGCAAAAUUCAAAAAACUAACCUUAGUUCGGAUUAUUCUCUGUAAUUCGAGAAUAUGAAGGUGGAAUCGCUAGUAAUCGCAAAUCAGCAUGUUGCGGUGAAUAUGUUUACAGGUUUAGUACACACCGCCCGUCACGCCAUGGAAAUUGAAACUAUUUGAAGCAAGUAAGCU
RNAcentral lists this ribosomal RNA (226 nucleotides) under Sexangularia sp. CB-2014. RNAcentral describes it as "partial Bacterial small subunit ribosomal RNA". It matches the Rfam family "Bacterial small subunit ribosomal RNA", at positions 1211 to 1436 of the family's 1533-position model. The record is from RNAcentral. Lineage: Eukaryota; Tubulinea; Elardia; Arcellinida.